Molecule: ribosomal RNA, 253 nt
Filed under: uncultured bacterium
Lineage: Bacteria
Description: partial 16S ribosomal RNA
Rfam family: Bacterial small subunit ribosomal RNA
Source: RNAcentral
UACAGAGGGUGCGAGCGUUGUCCGGAAUCACUGGGCGUAAAGGGCGCGUAGGCGGCUUGAUAAGCGUGCGGUGAAAGCCCGGGGCUCAACCCCGGGUCGGCCGUGCGAACUGUCGAGCUGGAGCACUGUAGAGGCAGGUGGAAUUCCUGGUGUAGCGGUGGAAUGCGCAGAUAUCAGGAGGAACACCGAUGGCGAAGGCAGAUCUCUGGGCCGUAACUGACGCUGAGGAGCGAAAGCAUGGGGAGCGAACAGG